UACGGAGGGGGCUAGCGUUGUUCGGAAUCACUGGGCGUAAAGCGCGCGUAGGCGGACCAUUAAGUCGGGGGUGAAAUCCCGGGGCUCAACCCCGGAACGGCCUUCGAUACUGGCGGUCUGGAGGUCGAGAGAGGCGAGUGGAAUUCCGAGUGUAGAGGUGAAAUUCGUAGAUAUUCGGAGGAACACCAGUGGCGAAGGCGGCUCGCUGGCUCGAUUCUGACGCUGAGGCGCGAAAGCGUGGGGAGCAAACAGG
This 253-nucleotide ribosomal RNA is filed under the name uncultured bacterium. RNAcentral describes it as "partial 16S ribosomal RNA". It matches the Rfam family "Bacterial small subunit ribosomal RNA", at positions 524 to 776 of the family's 1533-position model. The record is from RNAcentral.